Molecule: ribosomal RNA, 1436 nt
Filed under: metagenome
Description: bacterial SSU rRNA
Rfam family: Archaeal small subunit ribosomal RNA
Source: RNAcentral
ACCCGUUGAUCCUGCGGGAGGUCGCUACUAUUAGGGUUCGACUAAGCCAUGCAAGUCAGAGGGGCUCUUCGGAGUCACAGGCAAAAUGCUCAGUAACACGUCGUUAAUCUAACCUUAGAUCUGGAAUAACCUUGGAAAACUGAGGCUAAAACCGGAUAUGGGAAAAUAAUUGGAAAAUGUUUUCCUUUAAAAGCAAUGUCUAAGGAUGAGACGGCGGCGGAUUAGGUUGUUGGCGGGGUAAUGGCCCACCAAGCCGACGAUCCGUAGGGGCCGUGAGAGCGGUAGCCCCGAGAAGGACACUGAGAUACUGGUCCUAGCCCUACGGGGUGCAGCAGGCGCGAAACCUUUACAAUGCACGAAAGUGUGAUAAGGGAACCCUAAGUGCUCAUGUUUUACAUGGGCUUUUGCCAAGAAUAAAUAUCUUGGCGAAUAAGUGGUGGGAAAGACUGGUGCCAGCAGCCGCGGUAACACCAGCGCCACAAUUAGGGACCACUACUAUUGGGCCUAAAGCGUCCGUAGCCGGCUGAAUAAAUUUCUUGUGAAAUUGUUGGGCUUAACCUAACAACGUGCAGGAAAAACUGUUCAGCUUGGAACCGGGAGAAGUCAGGAGUAUGCUGGGGGGAGCGGUAAAAUGUUAUAAUCCCCGGUAGACUACCAGUGGCGAAGGCGCCUGACUAGAACGGAUUCGACGGUGAGGGACGAGAGCCAGGGGAGCGAAGCGGAUUAGAUACCCGUGUAGUCCUGGCCGUAAACGCUGCGAGCUAGGUGUUGCAUAUUCUACAUGAAUAUGCAGUAUCGAAGCGAAGGUGAUAAGCUCGCCGCCUGGGAAGUAUGGUCGCAAGGCUGAAACUUAAAGGAAUUGGCGGGGGAGCACUACAAGGGGUGCGGCGUGCGGUUUAAUCUAAUUCAACGCAGAGAAUCUCACCAGAAGCGACGGCAGGAUGAAAGUCAGGCUAAAGGUCUUACUUGACGAGCCGAGAGGUAGUGCAUGGCCGCCGUCAGCUCGUGCUGUAAAGUGUCCUGUUAAGUCAGGCAACGAGCGAGACCUGCAUCUACAAUUGCUAACGGAUUCUUUAGAAUGACUGAGCACAUUGUGGAGACUGCCCUGGAAACAGGGAGGAAGGUGCAGGCUACGGUAGGUCUGUAUGCUCCGAAUCUUCUGGGCUACACGCGCGCAACAAUGGUAAGGACAAUGGGAUGCGACUCCGAAAGGAGGAGCUAAUCCUCGAAACCUUAUCCAAGUCUAGAUUGAGGAUUGUAACUCAUCCUCAUGACAAUGGAAUCCCUAGUAAUCAGAGUUUAUCAUACUCCGGUGAACAUGUCCCUGCUCCUUGCACACACCGCCCGUCAAGCCACCCGAGUAGGGUUAGGUGGGAGGUAAAUUUUAUUUGCAUCGAACCUAAGCUCAGCGAGGAGGGCUAAGUCGUCACAAGGUA